UGGGGAAUUUUGGACAAUGGGCGAAAGCCUGAUCCAGCAAUGCCGCGUGAGUGAAGAAGGCCUUCGGGUUGUAAAGCUCUUUUGUCAGGGAAGAAACGGUGAGGGCUAAUAUCCCUUGCUAAUGACGGUACCUGAAGAAUAAGCACCGGCUAACUACGUGCCAGCAGCCGCGGUAAUACGUAGGGAGCAAGCGUUAAUCGGAAUUACUGGGCGUAAAGCGUGCGCAGGCGGUUUUGUAAGUCUGAUGUGAAAUCCCCGGGCUCAACCUGGGAAUUGCAUUGGAGACUGCAAGGCUAGAAUCUGGCAGAGGGGGGUAGAAUUCCACGUGUAGCAGUGAAAUGCGUAGAUAUGUGGAGGAACACCGAUGGCGAAGGCAGCCCCCUGGGUCAAGAUUGACGCUCAUGCACGAAAGCGUGGGGAGCAAACA
Molecule: ribosomal RNA, 427 nt
Filed under: uncultured bacterium
Lineage: Bacteria
Description: partial 16S ribosomal RNA
Rfam family: Bacterial small subunit ribosomal RNA
Source: RNAcentral